UACGUAGGGUGCAAGCGUUAUCCGGAAUUACUGGGCGUAAAGAGUACCGUAGGCGGUUUGGUAAGUAUGUGGUGAAAUCCUUCGGCUCAACCGAAGAACUGCUACAUAUACUGCCAGACUAGAGGAUAUCAGAGGAGGCUGGAAUUCUCGGUGUAGCAGUGAAAUGCGUUGAUAUCGAGAAGAACACCAAGGGCGAAGGCAGGCCUCUGGGAUAUUUCUGACGCUGAUGGACGAAAGCUAGGGUAGCAAAAGGG
RNAcentral lists this unclassified non-coding RNA (254 nucleotides) under Patescibacteria group bacterium. Its description in RNAcentral is "contains 16S-23S intergenic spacer region". It matches the Rfam family "Bacterial small subunit ribosomal RNA", at positions 524 to 776 of the family's 1533-position model. The record is from RNAcentral.